GACGAACCGUGCAAACGUUGUUCGGAAUCACUGGGCUUAAAGGGCGCGUAGGCGGGGUCGUAAGUCUGUGGUGAAAUCCGUCGGCUCAACCGGCGAAUGGCCGUGGAUACUGCGACCCUCGAGGGGUGUAGGGGCAUGCGGAACUCAGGGUGGAGCGGUGAAAUGCGUAGAGAUCCUGAGGAACGCCGGUGGCGAAAGCGGCGUGCUGGACACCUUCUGACGCUGAGGCGCGAAAGCCAGGGGAGCAAACGGG
RNAcentral lists this ribosomal RNA (253 nucleotides) under uncultured bacterium. RNAcentral's name for it is "partial 16S ribosomal RNA". It matches the Rfam family "Bacterial small subunit ribosomal RNA", at positions 524 to 776 of the family's 1533-position model. The record is from RNAcentral.